GGGAACGUGGCUCAGUGGUAGAGUGCUUGCCUUGCAUGCAUGAGGCCCUGGGUUCGAUUCCUCAGCACCA
Molecule: non-coding RNA, 70 nt
Organism: Dipodomys ordii (Ord's kangaroo rat)
Lineage: Eukaryota; Metazoa; Chordata; Mammalia; Rodentia; Heteromyidae
Source: Rfam